GGGUGACAGGUGGUGCAUGGUUGUCGUCAGCUCGUGUCGUGAGAUGUGGUUAAGUCCCGCAACGAGCGCAACCCUCGACCUUAGUUGCCAGCAUUCAGUUGGGCACUCUAAGGUGACUGCCGGCUAAAAGUCGGAGGAAGGUGGGGGAUGACGUCAAAUCAUCAUGCCCUUAUGACCUGGGCUACACACGUGCUACAAUGGGCGGUACAAAGGGUCGCGAACCCGCAGGGGGAGCCAAUCCCAAAAAGCCGCUCUCAGUUCGGAUUGCAGGCUGCAACUCGCCUGCAUGAAGCCGGAAUCGCUAGUAAUCGCGGAUCAGCAUGCCGCGGUGAAUACGUUCCCGGGCCUU
This 349-nucleotide ribosomal RNA is filed under the name uncultured Anoxybacillus sp. RNAcentral describes it as "bacterial SSU rRNA". It matches the Rfam family "Bacterial small subunit ribosomal RNA", at positions 1029 to 1382 of the family's 1533-position model. The record is from RNAcentral. Lineage: Bacteria; Bacillati; Bacillota; Bacilli; Caryophanales; Anoxybacillaceae.